Molecule: transfer RNA, 94 nt
Filed under: Melampsora larici-populina 98AG31
Lineage: Eukaryota; Fungi; Basidiomycota; Pucciniomycetes; Pucciniales; Melampsoraceae
Description: tRNA-Pro for anticodon AGG
Source: RNAcentral
GGUUUGGUGGUCUAGUAGUAUGAUUCACCCUUAGGGUACCCUGUACAAGGGCACAAUUUGGGUGAGGUCCCGGGUUCAAUUCCCGGCCAGACCC